This 1310-nucleotide ribosomal RNA is filed under the name metagenome. Its description in RNAcentral is "bacterial SSU rRNA". It matches the Rfam family "Bacterial small subunit ribosomal RNA", at positions 138 to 1482 of the family's 1533-position model. The record is from RNAcentral.
GAGGGAUAACGGCUGGAAACGGCCGCUAAUACCCCAUAUGCCGAGAGGUGAAACGAAUUUCGCCUGAGGAUGAGCCCGCGUCUGAUUAGCUAGUUGGUGGGGUAACGGCCCACCAAGGCGACGAUCAGUAGCUGGUCUGAGAGGAUGAUCAGCCACACUGGGACUGAGACACGGCCCAGACUCCUACGGGAGGCAGCAGUGGGGAAUUUUCCGCAAUGGGCGAAAGCCUGACGGAGCAACGCCGCGUGAGGGAUGAAGGCCUCUGGGCUGUAAACCUCUUUUCUCAAGGAAGAAGACCUGACGGUACUUGAGGAAUAAGCCACGGCUAAUUCCGUGCCAGCAGCCGCGGUAAUACGGGAGUGGCAAGCGUUAUCCGGAAUUAUUGGGCGUAAAGCGUCCGCAGGCGGCCUUGUAAGUCUGUUGUUAAAGCGUGGAGCUUAACUCCAUUUAAGCAAUGGAAACUACAAGGCUGGAGUGUGGUAGGGGCAGAGGGAAUUCCCGGUGUAGCGGUGAAAUGCGUAGAUAUCGGGAAGAACACCAGUGGCGAAGGCGCUCUGCUGGGCCAUGACUGACGCUCAUGGACGAAAGCCAGGGGAGCGAAAGGGAUUAGAUACCCCUGUAGUCCUGGCCGUAAACGAUGAACACUAGGUGUCGGGGGAAUCGACCCCCUCGGUGUCGUAGCCAACGCGUUAAGGUUCCGCCUGGGGAGUACGCACGCAAGUGUGAAACUCAAAGGAAUUGACGGGGGCCCGCACAAGCGGUGGAGUAUGUGGUUUAAUUCGAUGCAACGCGAAGAACCUUACCAGGGUUUGACAUCCUGCGAACCCCUGAGAAAUCGGGGGGUGCCUUCGGGAGCGCAGAGACAGGUGGUGCAUGGCUGUCGUCAGCUCGUGUCGUGAGAUGUUGGGUUAAGUCCCGCAACGAGCGCAACCCACGUCUUUAGUUGCCAGCAUUCAGUUGGGCACUCUAGAGAGACCGCCGGUGAUAAACCGGAGGAAGGUGUGGAUGACGUCAAGUCAUCAUGCCCCUUACAUCCUGGGCUACACACGUACUACAAUGCUACGGACAAAGGGCAGCAAGCUCGCGAGAGUUAGCAAAUCCCAUAAACCGUGGCUCAGUUCAGAUCGUAGGCUGCAACUCGCCUACGUGAAGGAGGAAUCGCUAGUAAUCGCAGGUCAGCAUACUGCGGUGAAUACGUUCCCGGGCCUUGUACACACCGCCCGUCACACCAUGGAAGUUGGCCAUGCCCGAAGUCGUUACUCCAACCCUUGUGGAGGAGGACGCCGAAGGUGGGGCUGAUGACUGGGGUG